This 207-nucleotide ribosomal RNA is filed under the name uncultured bacterium. RNAcentral describes it as "partial 16S ribosomal RNA". It matches the Rfam family "Bacterial small subunit ribosomal RNA", at positions 568 to 774 of the family's 1533-position model. The record is from RNAcentral.
CUCGUAGGCGGUUCGUCGCGUCCGGUGUGAAAGUCCAUCGCUUAACGGUGGAUCCGCGCCGGGUACGGGCGGGCUUGAGUGCGGUAGGGGAGACUGGAAUUCCCGGUGUAACGGUGGAAUGUGUAGAUAUCGGGAAGAACACCAAUGGCGAAGGCAGGUCUCAGGGCCGUCACUGACGCUGAGGAGCGAAAGCGUGGGGAGCGAACA